Long non-coding RNA from Octopus bimaculoides (California two-spot octopus), 302 nucleotides. Lineage: Eukaryota; Metazoa; Mollusca; Cephalopoda; Octopoda; Octopodidae. The record is from RefSeq and is a predicted model, not a curated record.
GGCUGACAAACUUCACGGUGUCAGCAUGAUGACAUCGAAGGAUGCUGUCUUCCACAAGAACGAUGCGUUCUCCACUCCAGUCACUGUGUCCCUGGGGGAACAGUUACCGUAUGAAGAGAGUCGUCUGGCUUGAAAAUAUACAGCAGCAGCAGCAGGUGAAAGGAAAGAAAGGAAGAAAGAACUGAAUAAAGAAUGAGAUACAUCGGGCAUCGAAAGAUCCACGAUGACCAUGACGACAACCACAACAACAACAACAACAUUGAACAGCGACAAAAUAAAAUUAUGAAAAUACAAAAAAAUAU